AUGAACGCUGGCGGCGUGCCUAAUACAUGCAAGUCGAGCGAACAGAUGAGGAGCUUGCUCCUCUGACGUUAGCGGCGGACGGGUGAGUAACACGUGGAUAACCUACCUAUAAGACUGGGAUAACUUCGGGAAACCAGAGCUAAUACCGGAUAAUAUAUUGAACCGCAUGGUUCAAUAGUGAAAGACGGUUUUGCUGUCACUUAUAGAUGGAUCCGCGCCGCAUUAGCUAGUUGGUAAGGUAACGGCUUACCAAGGCAACGAUGCGUAGCCGACCUGAGAGGGUGAUCGGCCACACUGGAACUGAGACACGGUCCAGACUCCUACGGGAGGCAGCAGUAGGGAAUCUUCCGCAAUGGGCGAUAGCCUGACGGAGCAACGCCGCGUGAGUGAUGAAGGUCUUCGGAUCGUAAAACUCUGUUAUUAGGGAAGAACAAAUGUGUAAGUAACUAUGCACGUCUUGACGGUACCUAAUCAGAAAGCCACGGCUAACUACGU
RNAcentral lists this ribosomal RNA (495 nucleotides) under uncultured bacterium. RNAcentral describes it as "partial 16S ribosomal RNA". It matches the Rfam family "Bacterial small subunit ribosomal RNA", at positions 29 to 506 of the family's 1533-position model. The record is from RNAcentral.